AUCAGAAGGUUACAACAGAAACAACCAAAGAGACAAAAGAGCAAACUUAGUCUUCUUAAUCUCCGAUGGGUUGCAAAAAAACUGACUUAUUUACAUUAAUUAACCCUUUGAAUUUCCAGAUCUCCUUCGUCGAUCAUGUACUUAAUGUAAUUUUCUUCUUCCUGUGAUCUCUCCAACCUUACAGAAAUUUUUCUUAAUUAGUUGGGUAAAAAUUAGAUAAUAGGAAAAAAC
RNAcentral lists this long non-coding RNA (231 nucleotides) under Linum usitatissimum (flax). Its description in RNAcentral is "long non-coding RNA (LUSI_LNC000373)". Lineage: Eukaryota; Viridiplantae; Streptophyta; Magnoliopsida; Malpighiales; Linaceae. The record is from RNAcentral.